RNAcentral lists this ribosomal RNA (570 nucleotides) under Clostridioides difficile. RNAcentral describes it as "bacterial LSU rRNA". It matches the Rfam family "Bacterial large subunit ribosomal RNA", at positions 2211 to 2780 of the family's 2925-position model. Lineage: Bacteria; Bacillati; Bacillota; Clostridia; Peptostreptococcales; Peptostreptococcaceae. The record is from RNAcentral.
GUACUGGGACUCUAACCAUAGGCCAUGAAUCUGGUCUUGGGACACUGUCAGGUGGGCAGUUUGACUGGGGCGGUCGCCUCCCAAAAGGUAACGGAGGCGCUCAAAGGUUCUCUCAGUACGGUCGGAAAUCGUACGUAGAGUGUAAAGGCAAAAGAGAGCUUGAUUGCAAGACAUACAGGUCGAGCAAGGAUGAAAAUCGGACUUAGUGAUCCGGUGGUUCUGCGUGGAAGGGCCAUCGCUCAACGGAUAAAAGCUACCCUGGGAUAACAGGCUUAUCUCCCCCAAGAGUCCACAUCGACGGGGAGGUUUGGCACCUCGAUGUCGGCUCAUCACAUCCUGGGGCUGUAGUAGGUCCCAAGGGUUGGGCUGUUCGCCCAUUAAAGUGGUACGCGAGCUGGGUUCAGAACGUCGUGAGACAGUUCGGUCCCUAUCCGUCGCAGGCGUAGGAAAUUUGAGAAGACCUGUCCUUAGUACGAGAGGACCGGGAUGGACGUACCUCUGGUGUACCAGUUGUCCUGCCAAGGGCAUGGCUGGGUAGCUAUGUACGGAAUGGAUAAGCGCUGAAAGCAU